This 490-nucleotide ribosomal RNA is filed under the name uncultured bacterium. Its description in RNAcentral is "partial 16S ribosomal RNA". It matches the Rfam family "Bacterial small subunit ribosomal RNA", at positions 30 to 507 of the family's 1533-position model. The record is from RNAcentral.
AUUGAACGCUGGCGGCAGGCCUAACACAUGCCAGUCGAACGGUAACAGGAAGCAGCUUGCUGCUUUGCUGACGAGUGGCGGACGGGUGAGUAAUGUCUGGGAAACUGCCUGAUGGAGGGGGAUAACUACUGGAAACGGUAGCUAAUACCGCAUAACGUCGCAAGACCAAAGAGGGGGACCUUCGGGCCUCUUGCCAUCGGAUGUGCCCAGAUGGGAUUAGCUAGUAGGUGGGGUAACGGCUCACCUAGGCGACGAUCCCUAGCUGGUCUGAGAGGAUGACCAGCCACACUGGAACUGAGACACGGUCCAGACUCCUACGGGAGGCAGCAGUGGGGAAUAUUGCACAAUGGGCGCAAGCCUGAUGCAGCCAUGCCGCGUGUAUGAAGAAGGCCUUCGGGUUGUAAAGUACUUUAAGCGGGGAGGAAGGGAGUAAAGUUAAUACCUUUGCUCAUUGACGUUACCAGCAGAAGAAGCACCGGCUAACUCCGUG